Rhincodon typus (whale shark) is the source of this 71-nucleotide non-coding RNA. The record is from the annotation of a RefSeq genome assembly. NCBI's taxonomy places the organism in Eukaryota, Metazoa, Chordata, Chondrichthyes, Orectolobiformes, Rhincodontidae.
GCAUUGGUGGUUCAACGGUAGAAUUCCCGCCCACCAUGCAGGAGGCCUGGGUUCAAUUCCCGGCCAACGCA